RNAcentral lists this ribosomal RNA (253 nucleotides) under uncultured bacterium. Its description in RNAcentral is "partial 16S ribosomal RNA". It matches the Rfam family "Bacterial small subunit ribosomal RNA", at positions 524 to 776 of the family's 1533-position model. The record is from RNAcentral.
UACAGAGCCUGCAAGCGUUAUUCGGAUUCACUGGGCGUAAAGGGAGCGCAGGCGGCCAAGUGUGUGAGGCGUGAAAGCCUGGGGCUUAACCCCAGAAUUGCACCUCAAACUACUUGGCUAGAGCAUUGGAGAGGGUAGCAGAAUUCAUGGUGUAGCAGUGAAAUGCGUAGAUAUCAUGAGGAAUACCAGAGGCGAAGGCGGCUACCUGGACAAUUGCUGACGCUCAGGCACGAAAGCGUGGGGAGCAAAAGGG